RNAcentral lists this microRNA precursor (94 nucleotides) under Branchiostoma floridae (Florida lancelet). RNAcentral describes it as "mir-2060 microRNA precursor family". It matches the Rfam family "mir-2060 microRNA precursor family". Lineage: Eukaryota; Metazoa; Chordata; Leptocardii; Amphioxiformes; Branchiostomatidae. The record is from Rfam by way of RNAcentral.
GUGUACCAGCGUAUGGAUGAAAUUAAGCAUCGGGGACAGGUGUGUUUGCCUGUGUGUGGAUGGUGUUGAUCAAUAGGGGCAGGUGUGUUUGCCA